CGUCCACGGGAGGCAGCAGUGGGGAAUAUUGCACAAUGGGGGAAACCCUGAUGCAGCGACGCCGCGUGAGUGAAGAAGUAAUUCGUUAUGUAAAGCUCUGUCAGCAGGGAAGAAAGAAAUGACGGUACCUGACCAAGAAGCCCCGGCUAACUACGUGCCAGCAGCCGCGGUAAUACGUAGGGGGCAAGCGUUAUCCGGAAUUACUGGGUGUAAAGGGAGCGUAGACGGUUAAGUAAGUCUGGAGUGAAAGGCCGGGGCCCAACCCCGGGACUGCUCUGGAAACUAUUGAACUUGAGUGCAGGAGG
RNAcentral lists this ribosomal RNA (305 nucleotides) under uncultured bacterium. Its description in RNAcentral is "bacterial SSU rRNA". It matches the Rfam family "Bacterial small subunit ribosomal RNA", at positions 335 to 655 of the family's 1533-position model. The record is from RNAcentral.